This 391-nucleotide ribosomal RNA is filed under the name uncultured bacterium. RNAcentral's name for it is "partial 16S ribosomal RNA". It matches the Rfam family "Bacterial small subunit ribosomal RNA", at positions 523 to 918 of the family's 1533-position model. The record is from RNAcentral.
ACACGUAGGGGGCGAGCGUUAUCCGGAUUCAUUGGGCGUAAAGCGCGUGCAGGCUGCCGCCUAAGCGGGACCUCUAAUCCCGGGGCUCAACCCCGGGCCGGGUCCCGAACUGCGGCUCGGGUGCGGUAGGGGAGGUCGGAAUUCCCGGUGUAGCGGUGGAAUGCGCAGAUAUCGGGAGGAACACCGACGGCGAAGGCAGGCCUCUGGGCCGCCACCGACGCUGAGGCGCGAAAGCCGGGGGAGCGAACAGGAUUAGAUACCCUGGUAGUCCCGGCCGUAAACGAUGCUAGCUAGGUGUGGGGGGACGUGCCCCCCGUGCCGCAGCCAACGCAUUAAGCUAGCCGCCUGGGGAGUACGGCCGCAAGGCUAAAACUCAAAUGAAUUGACGGGG